UGGGGAAUUUUGGACAAUGGGCGAAAGCCUGAUCCAGCAAUGCCGCGUGUGUGAAGAAGGCCUUCGGGUUGUAAAGCACUUUUGCCCGGAAAGAAAUCCUUGGCUCUAAUACAGUCGGGGGAUGACGGUACCGGAAGAAUAAGCACCGGCUAACUACGUGCCAGCAGCCGCGGUAAUACGUAGGGUGCAAGCGUUAAUCGGAAUUACUGGGCGUAAAGCGUGCGCAGGCGGUUUGCUAAGACCGAUGUGAAAUCCCCGGGCUCAACCUGGGAACUGCAUUGGUGACUGGCAGGCUAGAGUAUGGCAGAGGGGGGUAGAAUUCCACGUGUAGCAGUGAAAUGCGUAGAGAUGCGGAGGAAUACCGAUGGCGAAGGCAGCCCCCUGGGCCAAUACUGACGCUCAUGCACGAAAGCGUGGGGAGCAAAACAGGAUUAGAUACCCUGGUAGUCCACGCCCUAAACGAUGUCAACUAGUUGUUGGGGAUUCAUUUCCUUAGUAACGUAGCUAACGCGUGAAGUUGACCGCCUGGGGAGUACGGUCGCAAGAUUAAAACUUAAAGGAAUUG
This 565-nucleotide ribosomal RNA is filed under the name uncultured bacterium. Its description in RNAcentral is "partial 16S ribosomal RNA". It matches the Rfam family "Bacterial small subunit ribosomal RNA", at positions 355 to 912 of the family's 1533-position model. The record is from RNAcentral.